Molecule: ribosomal RNA, 1041 nt
Filed under: Triticum aestivum (bread wheat)
Lineage: Eukaryota; Viridiplantae; Streptophyta; Magnoliopsida; Poales; Poaceae
Description: partial small subunit ribosomal RNA
Source: RNAcentral
AUGGAGGUGGCGAUGGUGGAGUGGUGGCCAUGGUUCGGAUCGGCUGUGGCGAGCACCAUUUUCCUAUGGUCCAUGGUGCAGAACCACAUCCCGGAUGCCCUCCGCCUCAACCUCGCCGCUUUGGCCGCCAAGCUCACCGCCUACUUCAACCCUUACCUCCAGAUCACCAUCUCGGAGAACGGCGCCCAGCGCUGGAAGCGAAGCGAACUCUUCCUCGCCGUCGAGGCCUACCUGAGCGACGCAUGUGCCCGUCGCGCGCGCAGGCUCAAAGCCGAGCUCGGCAAGGACAGCAAGAACAUCCAGGUCUCCAUCGACGACCACGAGGGAGUCACCGAUGACUUCUCCGGCGCCACGCUCUGGUGGCACGCCUCCAAGCAGCGACCCAAUGCCAAUGUCAUCAGUUUGUACCCUGGCGAGGACGAGAAGCGCUUCUACCGGGUCACCUUCCAUAAGCGACACCACGACCUCGUCGUCGAUUCUUACCUGCCUUUCGUCCUCGGCGAGGGCCGCACCAUCAUCAUCAAGAACCGCCAGCGCCUCCUGUUCACCAACAAAGCCAGCGGCAGCUCGAGCCCUUACGGGGCCAGGACCGCCUGGAGCCAUGUACCGUUCGAGCACCCGGCGACCUUCGACACCCUUGCCAUGGACCCCAAACAGAAGGAGGACGUCAUCGACGACCUCAUGGCAUUCCAAGAGAGCAAGGAGUACUACGCUAAGGUCGGCAAGGCGUGGAAGCGCGGGUACCUCCUUUACGGCCCGCCCGGCACCGGCAAGUCCACUAUGAUAGCCGCCAUGGCCAACUUCCUCGACUACGACGUCUACGACCUCGAGCUCACGGCCAUCAACAACAACACCGAGUUGCGAAAGCUCUUCAUCGAGACGACGGGCAAGUCCAUCAUCGUCAUAGAGGACAUUGACUGCUCCGCCGACCUCACCGGAAAACGCCGCAAGGACAAGAAGGCCUCUCGCGACAAGGACUCCGAUGGAAACGACAAACCCAAGUACCAAUCGAGCCAGAGAAGGAUGACGCGACCAAGGUGA